GACGAACGCUGGCGGCGUGCCUAAUACAUGCAAGUAGAACGCUGAAGCUUGGUGCUUGUACCGAGCGGAUGAGUUGCGAACGGGUGAGUAACGCGUAGGUAACCUGCCUGGUAGCGGGGGAUAACUAUUGGAAACGAUAGCUAAUACCGCAUAAUAGUAGAUGUUGCAUGACAUUUGCUUAAAAGGUGCAAUUGCAUCACUACCAGAUGGACCUGCGUUGUAUUAGCUAGUUGGUGAGGUAACGGCUCACCAAGGCGACGAUACAUAGCCGACCUGAGAGGGUGAUCGGCCACACUGGGACUGAGACACGGCCCAGACUCCUACGGGAGGCAGCAGUAGGGAAUCUUCGGCAAUGGACGGAAGUCUGACCGAGCAACGCCGCGUGAGUGAAGAAGGUUUUCGGAUCGUAAAGCUCUGUUGUAAGAGAAGAACGAGU
Molecule: ribosomal RNA, 436 nt
Filed under: Streptococcus oralis
Lineage: Bacteria; Bacillati; Bacillota; Bacilli; Lactobacillales; Streptococcaceae
Description: bacterial SSU rRNA
Rfam family: Bacterial small subunit ribosomal RNA
Source: RNAcentral